CAGAUGUUCUUUCCCAGACAGUUACUCUGGACCAACCUGGAUCUGCAGUUGUGAAACCCUCUGAAACCCUGAAAAUCCCAUGUAAAGUCUCAGUGUCUAUUGCUAGUGAUUACUGGGCUUGGGUCAGACAGAAAGCAGGGUCAGCACUGGAAUAUAUUGGGUAUAUACAUGGUGGUGGAAGCAUUUAUUAUGCCCCCUCCUUUCAAGGAAAAGUAACUUUCACCAGAGACACAUCAAAAAAUGAACUUUACUUUGAAAUGCCAAAUAUGAGAAGUGACGAUUCUGGGACAUAUUACUGUGCGAGAGACACUGUGACAG
Molecule: non-coding RNA, 318 nt
Organism: Pelobates cultripes (western spadefoot toad)
Lineage: Eukaryota; Metazoa; Chordata; Amphibia; Anura; Pelobatidae
Source: the annotation of a GenBank genome assembly